GAUGAACGCUGACAGAAUGCUUAACACAUGCAAGUCAACUUGAACUUCGGUUUGGGUGGCGGACGGGUGAGUAACGCGUAAAGAACUUGCCUCACAGCUAGGGACAACAUUUGGAAACGAAUGCUAAUACCUGAUAUUAUGAUUAUAUGGCAUCGUAUAAUUAUGAAAGCUAUAUGCGCUGUGAGAGAGCUUUGCGUCCCAUUAGCUAGUUGGAGAGGUAACAGCUCACCAAGGCGAUGAUGGGUAGCCGGCCUGAGAGGGUGAUCGGCCAAAAGGGGACGGAGACACGGCCCUUACUCCUACGGGAGGCAGCAGUGGGGAAUAUUGGACAAUGGACCAAGAGUCUGAUCCAGCCAUUCUGUGUGCACGAUGAAGUUUUUCGGAAUGUAAAGUGCUUUCAGUUGGGAAGAAAAAAAUGACGGUACCAACAGAAGAAGUGACGGCUAAAUACGUG
Molecule: ribosomal RNA, 454 nt
Filed under: uncultured bacterium
Lineage: Bacteria
Description: partial 16S ribosomal RNA
Rfam family: Bacterial small subunit ribosomal RNA
Source: RNAcentral